Molecule: unclassified non-coding RNA, 296 nt
Filed under: Hevea brasiliensis (rubber tree)
Lineage: Eukaryota; Viridiplantae; Streptophyta; Magnoliopsida; Malpighiales; Euphorbiaceae
Source: RNAcentral
CUGAUCGGUACCGCGGACAGUGCCGCCGAUGUGAUGGAGGCCGCGGACCGUGCGAUGUAUGCGCGAAAGGCAUUGCGGCGUGGAGGCCGCGCGCGGGCCGCGCUCUGAAAUCAUGCCGCGGCGUCAUGACGCAAGAUCAGGCGAUGAUGUCAGGCGUGAUCUGGUCUUCGAUGAAUGAAAUCCGGUCGCGCAACUGCAGCUUGCGUUUUUUCAAACGCUGCAGUCUGAGCAGGUCCGGUGCGGGCGACUGAUGCAGCGCCUCGAUGGCGGCGUCCAGGUCGCGAUGCUCCUGCUGC